GAAAUACGAUAAGUAAUGUGAAUUGCAGAAUUCAGUGAAUCAUCGAAUCUUUGAACGCACCUUGCGCUCCUUGGUAUUCCGAGGAGCAUGCCUGUUUGAGUGUCAUGGAAUUCUCAACUCUAUUUGCUUUUGUGAAUAGAGCUUGGAUUUGGAGGUUUAUUGCUGGUACUUGUGAUCGGCUCCUCUUGAAUGCAUUAGCUCGAACCUUUGCGGAUCAGCUAUCGGUGUGAUAAUUGUCUACGCCGUUGCAGUGAAGCAUAUCAAUGGGCUCGGCUUCCAAUCGUCCUUUACUGGACAAUGACUUUGACCUUUGACCUCAAAUCAGGUAGGAUUACCCGCUGAACUUAAGC
This 350-nucleotide unclassified non-coding RNA is filed under the name plant metagenome. RNAcentral describes it as "partial contains 5.8S ribosomal RNA, internal transcribed spacer 2, and large subunit ribosomal RNA". The stretch from base 1 to 105 matches the Rfam family "5.8S ribosomal RNA", at positions 50 to 154 of the family's 154-position model. The record is from RNAcentral.